GUGCGAAUUGCGGACACAUUGAGCACUAAAAUUUCGAACGCACAUUGCGCCAUCGGGUUCAUUCCCCUUGGCACGUCUGGCUGAGGGUCGAAAUCUAAAAUAUACUACUCUUAAUUAUAUAUAUAUCGGCUUAUAUAACAAUAACAUCUAUAACUCUGGCAAGUUAUGUAGCUAUAGAUGUGGCUAGUUUGUUGUUAUUAUUAGGCAGUUUGUAUAUAGUUAUAUAGUAGUGAUGUCAAUAGACUAUCUUGACGUAUGUAAGUACUGAUGCUGGUGACGGUGCUGUUAUGUCAACGAUACUCUAUUCAGUUUUGAAUGUAAAAAAAUCGCACAAGUUCGAUUUUGCAUAGGUUAGCACAAGCAACAACCACUGCCUUGGUAAAUUGCUUGAAAGCGAUUCUCUAGCAUACAGAUGUGUAGCAACUAUGCAAGGGUUAGCAAGCGCUUUCAUGCUAGUUAAGCUUUUUACUAUGGCCGCGAGCUAGUGUGUUUGGUUUGCUGAUGUAACUAUGUGGAUGUAGACGUGUAUGUAUGUGUGUGUGUGUGUGUGUAUGCAUGCACACGCACUACUACUACUACUACUACUACUACAAUGACCUCAGCUCAGUCGUGAUUACCCGCUGAAUUUAAGCAUAUAACUAAGCGGAGGAAAAGAAACUAACGAGGAUUCCUUUAGUAACGGCGAGUGAACAGGGAAGAGCCCAUCGCUGAAUCCCAUAAUCACUGAUUAUCGGGAACUGUAGCGUAUAGGUGUAACUAUUCGGUGGUUUUUGCUUACCCAAAGUUCCCUUGAGUGGGGCUAUAGUCCAUAGAGGGUGCUAGGCCUGUACGGGUAGCGAAAUUACUGAUAUCGGUUGCUCCUUGGAGUCGAGUUGCCUGGGAACGCAGCUCAAAGUAGGUGGUAAACCUCAUCUAAGGCUAAAUAUGACUACGAGACCGAUAGCGAACAAGUACCGUGA
Molecule: ribosomal RNA, 959 nt
Rfam family: Eukaryotic large subunit ribosomal RNA (bases 594-959)